RNAcentral lists this ribosomal RNA (465 nucleotides) under uncultured bacterium. RNAcentral's name for it is "partial 16S ribosomal RNA". It matches the Rfam family "Bacterial small subunit ribosomal RNA", at positions 28 to 507 of the family's 1533-position model. The record is from RNAcentral.
GACGAACGCUGGCGGCGUGCUUAACACAUGCAAGUCGAACGGAAAGACCCUGAUUUCAGGGUACUCGAGUGACGAACGGGUGAGUAACACGUAGGUGGUCUGCCCUGCACUACGGGUUAGGUCAGGUAGACUGGGUCUAAUUAAGGCUAGGUAACAUUUUUAAUGUGAUGGUUGGAUAGUUACUUGCGUGUUUGCUGAGUUCGCUGGCUAUCGGCUUGCUGGUGCGGUAAUGGGCUACCAAGGCGGCGUAGGGUAGCCGGCCUGAGAGGGUGGACGGCCACAUUGGGACUGAGAGACGGCCCAGACACCGACGCGAGGCAGCAGGGGGGAAUAUUGCACAAUGGGCGCAAGCCUGAUGCAGCAGCGCCGCGGGUGGGAUGACGGCCUUCGGGUUGAAAACUCAUUUCGCUAGUGACGAAGCUUGUUGUGACGGUACCUAGAUAAGAAGCACCGGCUAACUACGUG